AUACGUAGGUGACAAGCGUUAUCCGGAUUUACUGGGCGUAAAGGGCGUGUAGGCGGUCUUGCAAGUCAGAAGUGAAAUUCCUGAGCUCAACUCGGGCGCUGCUUCUGAAACUGCAGGACUUGAGUGCUGGAGGGGAUAGCGGAAUUCCUAGUGGAGCGGUAAAAUGCGCAGAUAUUAGGAAGAACACCGGUGGCGAAGGCGGCUAUCUGGACAGUAACAGACGCUGAGGCGCGAAAGCGUGGGGAGCAAACAGGAUUAGAUACCCGGGUAGUCCACGCUGUAAACGAUGAAUACUAGGUGUAGGGGGUAUCGACUCCCUCUGUGCCGCAGUUAACACAAUAAGUAUUCCGCCUGGGGAGUACGGCCGCAAGGUUGAAACUCAAAGGAAUUGACGGGG
RNAcentral lists this ribosomal RNA (397 nucleotides) under uncultured bacterium. Its description in RNAcentral is "partial 16S ribosomal RNA". It matches the Rfam family "Bacterial small subunit ribosomal RNA", at positions 523 to 918 of the family's 1533-position model. The record is from RNAcentral.